UCUUAAAAUAGUUUAUGAAAAUAAUGAUUUUGGGGAUCAUAGAUGAAUUAAAAUAAUUCUUUUUAGAA
This 68-nucleotide transfer RNA is filed under the name Yuukianura szeptyckii. Its description in RNAcentral is "tRNA-Pro". Lineage: Eukaryota; Metazoa; Arthropoda; Collembola; Poduromorpha; Neanuridae. The record is from RNAcentral.